Molecule: ribosomal RNA, 505 nt
Filed under: uncultured bacterium
Lineage: Bacteria
Description: partial 16S ribosomal RNA
Rfam family: Bacterial small subunit ribosomal RNA
Source: RNAcentral
GACGAACGCUGGCGGCGUGCCUAAUACAUGCAAGUAGAACGCACAGUUUAUACCGUAGCUUGCUACACCAUAGACUGUGAGUUGCGAACGGGUGAGUAACGCGUAGGUAACCUGCCUGGUAGCGGGGGAUAACUAUUGGAAACGAUAGCUAAUACCGCAUAAUAUUAAUUAUUGCAUGAUAAUUAAUUGAAAGGUGCAAUUGCACCACUACCAGAUGGACCUGCGUUGUAUUAGCUAGUAGGUGAGGUAACGGCUCACCUAGGCGACGAUACAUAGCCGACCUGAGAGGGUGAUCGGCCACACUGGGACUGAGACACGGCCCAGACUCCUACGGGAGGCAGCAGUAGGGAAUCUUCGGAAAUGGACGAAAGUCUGACCGAGCAACGCCGCGUGAGUGAAGAAGGUUUUCGGAUCGUAAAGCUCUGUUGUAAGAGAAGAACGGGUGUGAGAGUGGAAAGUUCACACUGUGACGGUAUCUUACCAGAAAGGGACGGCUAACUCCGUG